RNAcentral lists this ribosomal RNA (468 nucleotides) under uncultured bacterium. Its description in RNAcentral is "partial 16S ribosomal RNA". It matches the Rfam family "Bacterial small subunit ribosomal RNA", at positions 28 to 507 of the family's 1533-position model. The record is from RNAcentral.
GACGAACGCUGGCGGCGUGCUUAACACAUGCAAGUCGAACGGAAAGGCCCUGCUUUUGUGGGGUGCUCGAGUGGCGAACGGGUGAGUAACACGUGAGUAAACUGCCCUUGACUUUGGGAUAACUUCAGGAAACUGGGGCUAAUACCGGAUAGGAGCUACUGCUGCAUGGUGGGGGUUGGAAAGAUUCGGCGGUUGGGGAUGGACUCGCGGCUUAUCAGCUUGUUGGGGGGGUAGUGGCUUACCAAGGCUUUGACGGGUAGCCGGCCUGAGAGGGUGACCGGCCACAUUGGGACUGAGAUACGGCCCAGACUCCUACGGGAGGCAGCAGUGGGGAAUAUUGCACAAUGGGCGGAAGCCUGAUGCAGCAACGCCGCGUGCGUGAUGACGGCCUUCGGGUUGUAAACCGCUUUCGCCUGUGACGAAGCGUGAGUGACGGUAAUGGGUAAAGAAGCACCGGCUAACUACGUG